GACGAACGCUGGCGGCGUGCCUAAUACAUGCAAGUAGAACGCACAGUUUAUACCGUAGCUUGCUACACCAUAAACUGUGAGUUGCGAACGGGUGAGUAACGCGUAGGUAACCUGUCUGGUAGCGGGGGAUAACUAUUGGAAACGAUAGCUAAUACCGCAUAAUAUUGAUUAUUGCAUGAUAAUUGAUUGAAAGAUGCUAUUGCAUCACUACCAGAUGGACCUGCGUUGUAUUAGCUAGUAGGUGAGGUAACGGCUCACCUAGGCGACGAUACAUAGCCGACCUGAGAGGGUGAUCGGCCACACUGGGACUGAGACACGGCCCAGACUCCUACGGGAGGCAGCAGUAGGGAAUCUUCGGCAAUGGACGAAAGUCUGACCGAGCAACGCCGCGUGAGUGAAGAAGGUUGUCGGAUCGUAAAGCUCUGUUGUAAGAGAAGAACGGGUGUGAGAGUGGAAAGUUCACACUGUGACGGUAUCUUACCAGAAAGGGACGGCUAACUACGUG
RNAcentral lists this ribosomal RNA (505 nucleotides) under uncultured bacterium. Its description in RNAcentral is "partial 16S ribosomal RNA". It matches the Rfam family "Bacterial small subunit ribosomal RNA", at positions 28 to 507 of the family's 1533-position model. The record is from RNAcentral.